AUUGAACGCUGGCGGAAUGCUUUACACAUGCCAGUCGAACGGUAGAGGGGGCAACCCCUCGAGACUGGCGAACGGGUGAGUAAUAUAUCGGAACGUGCCCAGUAGUGGGGGAUCACGUAGCGUAAGCUACGCUAAUACCGCCUACGAUCUAAGGAUGAAAGCGGGGGAUAGCAAGACCUCGCGCGAUUGGAGCGGCCGAUAUCAGGUUAGGUGGUUGGUGGGGUAAAGGCUCACCAAGCCAACGAUCUGCAGCUGGGCUGAGAGGACGACCAGCCACACUGGAACUGAGACACGGCCCAGACUCCUACGGGAGGCAGCAGUGGGGAAUUUUGGACAAUGGACGCAAGUCUGAUCCAGCCAUUCCGCGUGCAGGAUGAAGGCCCUCGGGUUGUAAACUGCUUUUGUACGGAACGAAAAGGUCUCUUUUAAUACGGGGGGCUCAUGACGGUACCGUAAGAAUAAGCACCGGCUAACUACGUGCCAGCCGCCGCAGUAA
This 496-nucleotide ribosomal RNA is filed under the name uncultured bacterium. RNAcentral's name for it is "partial 16S ribosomal RNA". It matches the Rfam family "Bacterial small subunit ribosomal RNA", at positions 30 to 523 of the family's 1533-position model. The record is from RNAcentral.